RNAcentral lists this ribosomal RNA (973 nucleotides) under human gut metagenome. RNAcentral's name for it is "bacterial SSU rRNA". It matches the Rfam family "Bacterial small subunit ribosomal RNA", at positions 380 to 1354 of the family's 1533-position model. The record is from RNAcentral.
AGCCUGAACCAGCCAAGUAGCGUGGAGGAUGACCGCCCUACGGGUUGUAAACUCCUUUUAUAAGGGAAUAAAACCUCCCACGUGUGGGAGCUUGUAUGUACCUUAUGAAUAAGCAUCGGCUAACUCCGUGCCAGCAGCCGCGGUAAUACGGAGGAUGCGAGCGUUAUCCGGAUUUAUUGGGUUUAAAGGGAGCGUAGACGGGAUGUCAAGUCAGCUGUGAAAGUUUGCGGCUCAACCGUAAAAUUGCAGUUGAAACUGGCUUUCUUGAGUGCGUUCGAGGCAGGCGGAAUUCGUGGUGUAGCGGUGAAAUGCAUAGAUAUCACGAAGAACCCCGAUUGCGAAGGCAGCCUGCUAGGCCGCAACUGACGUUGAUGCUCGAAAGUGCGGGUAUCAAACAGGAUUAGAUACCCUGGUAGUCCGCACGGUAAACGAUGGGCACUCGCUGCCGGCGAUAUACAGCCGGCGGCUUAGCGAAAGCGUUAAGUGCCCCACCUGGGGAGUACGCCGGCAACGGUGAAACUCAAAGGAAUUGACGGGGGCCCGCACAAGCGGAGGAACAUGUGGUUUAAUUCGAUGAUACGCGAGGAACCUUACCCGGGCUUGAACUGCGGAUGAAUUGCGCGGAAACGCGCAAGUGGGCAACCACAUCCGUGGAGGUGCUGCAUGGUUGUCGUCAGCUCGUGCCGUGAGGUGUCGGCUUAAGUGCCAUAACGAGCGCAACCCCUUCCGCCAGUUGCCAUCAGGUUAUGCUGGGGACUCUGGCGGUACUGCCAUCGUAAGAUGCGAGGAAGGUGGGGAUGACGUCAAAUCAGCACGGCCCUUACGUCCGGGGCUACACACGUGUUACAAUGGGGGGUACAGAGGGCCGCCAUCCGGCGACGGAGCGCCAAUCCCUAAAGCCCCUCCCAGUUCGGACUGGAGCCUGCAACCCGGCUCCACGAAGCUGGAUUCGCUAGUAAUCGCGCAUCAGCCA